AUGUCCUUAGUUAUCUCUUCCCUGGACCAUUGCAAUGGCCUCCUAACUGGUCUUCCCAUCUCCAUUCUCUCCUCUUUCAUAGCCUUCCUGUGCUGUUAUGUUAAUCAUGCCUUUACAAAAAACUACAUUGUCCACCAAAUGAGUAGAAUUAGCCAGAAUCAGAGCAAGAAGCCCACUGAGCCACAGGAGGUCUGCCUGGACCACAAGGUGGUAUCGUAUGCUCCAGAUGUCAUUUUUUUCAAGUUAUCUUAUUAUUUCAGAAAUCUGAUUUCUUUAGUGCAGGUAUGACUUCCAUUGAUUUGCUGUCAACCCUCUGGAAUUUGGUUGACAGUCUUCAAGAAUUUGUGUGGCUGAAAAGUUAAUCACUCUACAGUCAACCUAGCCUCUAUGAACUUAGCAUAGUUGGUCCUCAGCCAAGUCAUCUAGCCUAUAAUCGAGCCUUUCUUUGAGGUCUUGAACUCUGCUUGGAAAGCAGCAAGAGGCAUUAAGGGUAAGACCUGGAGGAAGUUUAAAGAUACCACGCUAAUAAACAUAUUUUGAAUGAAUGAAGUGCUUCCUUA
Monodelphis domestica (gray short-tailed opossum) is the source of this 560-nucleotide long non-coding RNA. NCBI's taxonomy places the organism in Eukaryota, Metazoa, Chordata, Mammalia, Didelphimorphia, Didelphidae. The record is from Ensembl.